GAUGAACGCUAGCGGCAGGCUUAACACAUGCAAGUCGAGGGGCAGCAUGAGGGUUAGCAAUAACCUUUGAUGGCGACCGGCGCAAGGGUGCGUAACGCGUGAGCAACUUGCCCGUUUCUGGGGGAUAACCGGUGGAAACGCCGACUAAUACCCCAUAGUAUUGAUUUCAGGCAUCUGUUAUCAAUUAAAGAAUUUCGGAAACGGAUAGGCUCGCGUGACAUUAGCUAGAUGGCGGGGUAACGGCCCACCAUGGCAACGAUGUCUAGGGGUUCUGAGAGGAAGGUCCCCCACACUGGAACUGAGACACGGUCCAGACUCCUACGGGAGGCAGCAGUGAGGAAUAUUGGUCAAUGGACGCAAGUCUGAACCAGCCAUGCCGCGUGCAGGAAGACGGCUCUAUGAGUUGUAAACUGCUUUUGUACAAGGGUAAACCCCGGUACGUGUACCGAGCUGAAAGUACUGUACGAAUAAGGAUCGGCUAACUCCGUG
This 489-nucleotide ribosomal RNA is filed under the name uncultured bacterium. RNAcentral's name for it is "bacterial SSU rRNA". It matches the Rfam family "Bacterial small subunit ribosomal RNA", at positions 28 to 507 of the family's 1533-position model. The record is from RNAcentral.